This 72-nucleotide transfer RNA is filed under the name Camelus bactrianus (Bactrian camel). It matches the Rfam family "tRNA". Rfam says of the family: Transfer RNA (tRNA) molecules are approximately 80 nucleotides in length. Their secondary structure includes four short double-helical elements and three loops (D, anti-codon, and T loops). RNAcentral also lists the same sequence under 2 other names. Lineage: Eukaryota; Metazoa; Chordata; Mammalia; Artiodactyla; Camelidae. The record is from Rfam by way of RNAcentral.
UGAGGUAUAGCUCAGUGGUAGAGUGUAUGCUUAGCAUGCACGAGGUCCUGGGUUCAAUUCCCAGUAUCUCCA